UUCUCUUUAGAUGGUCUGUUUAUCUGUCAUAAUUUGACAGUGUAUGAAAAUGAUACCUAGAUUUAUUUCUCAGAAGAUAAUUGCCUUGGCAUUUAGUCUCUUUGUUCUCUAAAUCUUUCCAAUACUUUGCUUUUUUUCUGUUUUCAGGCAGAUUCUACAUUUCCUGAAUGGAGAGGUAUUUUCCUGCACACAGGCAGUCAGUCACUUAGUGGCUGUCACCAACAGAAAAUACAUGUUUGCACAAGGAAAAGAGCACAGGAAGGAAUGGAUGCAUCAGACAGGCAACUCUCCUCCUGGUACCUGGGGGCUCUUUCCAGCACAUUUCACACACCAGGUAAAAAAAUAUCAUCUUUCAUUACAGAUUUCUUUGUAUGUCACAGAAUCCUCCGGUGGGAACAGAUAAUGCCAAUCCUGCCAUCUCCUGGCAUCCAUUCCAUGUUUCAUCAUGUCCUGCCAUGUCAAUCUCACUGGAAGGGAGCAGAAUUAUUGCAGGCACAGCUCUGGGACAGUCAGCAGCUUUGGGUGGGGGCUUGCCCUCAUCACCUGCCAGAUUAUUGAUUGUGCUAAUUUCUCUCUAGUUCUCAAGGAUUAUGUGUCCAAAAAGACACUGAAGGGGAUUGAGGUUUCCACUAACUACCAAAAAAUUCACAUUUUAGGCUAACAGAAAGGGCACAAGCUCUUCCAUAGAGUAUAGGAAAACAGUUGUAAGACUUGAAAGCUUCUUUAUAUUAAUGUGUAAAAAUUCUUUUUUGUGCAAAAGGUUAUUGUUUCUCUUUGUUUUUACAGAAAAAACACCAGCUAAACCUCAGCAUGCCCUGGGAUUGCCUUGCUUUGUGGUGGAGAACAAGAAACCUUGUAAAGGCACAGGUAGGUUUUGCAUAUAUUGUGCUUUUUCUUAUAUUUUUUUCCCUUUUCUCGGUUCUUUUGUUUGAAGGACUGUGCUGGAAUUGCUGAUGGUGUUCAUAAAACUGUUCCAUAUCACCAUUACCUUAGGCAAGUCUAACAGAAAAGAGCCCUAUGGCUUAUAAAGUGAAUGUCAGAGUGUGUUUAUGCACAGUUUAAACAAGAAGCAGGACUGUGAGCUGCCUCUUUUCCCUGCUGCAGAGCUGGCCCAGGUAGGGCGAGCCACACUGUGAUAACCCCAAACACUGCAUGGGGACACAGCUCUGUGCAAUGCUCCCAUGGAUGAUUUCCUCCAGGAACUUGGGAGUACCAGCAGCAAUGAACAUAUUCUCUGAUCUGCUUCCUUAUUUUACCCCUUAGAGGGUAUACUGGGUUUGAACAGCCUGGAUUUGGUAGCCAGGGGGCUACAAGGAGCUGCAAGGAGCUGCCAGAAGCUUCCACCAUGUCUGGCAGAGCCAAUCCCUGGCAGCUCCAAAGAUGGAUGUGCUGCUGGUCAGGGCUGGGCCACUUAGAAAUGAUGGUGACACCUCUGUGGUAACACACUUAAGAGGAAAGAAAAAGAAGUUACUGCAUUGUUGUAACUGUGGCCAGAGCAGGGUGAGAACAUGCGGGAGGAACAACUCUGCAAACACCAAGGUCGGAGUCCAGGGCAUCCCUCUGGCUGCCCUGGAAGGUCUGGGACCCUGGCAGGGGUCAGGAACCCCCCUGGACAGAGCCCCCAGAGAUACUGUCUGUGAUCUCUGUCCAUGGAAAAGAGUUUUCAAUCUUACAGGAUGAAUUACAAGCUCUGAGUGUUUGAUAUAAGUAAUAAUUAAGUGUGGCACGGGUGCAAAAGUAAAAUUUUAGGAUUCUAGAUUAGGGGUCCAAAGGGCACAAGACGGAGGAAAUUGGGUGUGCCUUGUCCUUUUUCUCCUUCUUCAUGCCCUCCAUGUUUCACUGUGCUGUUGGCAUUUUUCUGUUGGUUCAGGCUGGGGACACACUGUCCAACGUAGGUGACAGAUAUUGGCACGUUAUUGUAAAUCCAGCACAGGUAGUUUCUGGUAUUUAAUGUUUGUAACAUCCCACUGAGGGCAGAGCCCCACACGCUGCCCUGCAGGACAGAGCUGCGGCAGGGCAGCAGAACAUGUUAGAGAUAAACAGAAUAAACAACCUUGAAACAGCACAGACAAAUUAUGGCUUCUGCUUUGGCAGGGGAGGGGUGGGAGGAAGGUGUUUCUAAUGCUUUAUUUUACUUCUCAUUAUUCUGCUCUGAUUUUGUUAGCAAUAAAUUUAAUACAUGAUUCUAAUUAAAGCCUAUUUUGCCCAUGAUGGUAUUUGAUGAUCUCCCCUGGUCCUUAGCAUAACCCAUGAACCAUUCAUUAAAUUUUCUCUCCCCUUCAUAGUUGUGGAGAGAAGUGAGAGAGUGGCUUUGGUAGGUGCAUGGCCUCUGGCUUUUACAGAGAUGAAACUUUAGCACAUUCUGCCAAGGGAGAGAAUUGAGACAGUGCAUAUGCAAUCUCUGUGCUCAGCACACAUUUGGGUCCAGGUUAAUUUACCUUAUCUGACAUAACCUUGUAUCAAACUGGACAUAAAUACAGAAUUAAACGUAGCUGUGGGCAGCUAGCUUUUUGUGUACAAUUGCAGCAAUAAUUUAGAUGUUAUUUAUGUUGAUAUUUUCUUGUCAGGUUUGGAACAUUUGUGAGCCAUUUCAAAUGAAAAGACAAAUCAAGCUGAGUUUGUUACAAACAUGCCUCAAUAUGCCCUUUAGAAUGAGCUCUGCACAAACCUUUCACAGGGAGGAGGUAAAUAACAUUUUACUGAAACAGGAAAUGGCCACAGUGAAGACCAACACUAAAUGACUAUAGGAAGCAAUAUAACAAUUACUUACUUCAAAUUCCUUUUGGUGAGCACACAGCCUCCAACCAUGGCAUAAUUUUGCUUAAAGCACUGGGUUCUGAACUACAAGAAGCCAUUUAAGGGAAAAAGCCAUGAACUGUAAAUUAUAUUAGAAAAUCAGAUUUCAAAAGAAUAAUUAUAAAAUAAAUUAACAUCUCAGUGUUUUGCUACUGUAGGGAUGCUUCAAGACCAGGGAAUGAUUGGGAAAUCUUUUUCUAAGCAAAAAGGCUAUACUGAGAAACAAUGCCCUGUGAGAGUCUCUGGCUGUGCUGUACAGUGGGACUUUGUUUGCUUAUAGACUUUGGUUUUGGAAAUCUGAAAUCCACUCUCAGAACUGCAAUUUUUGGUAAGUGAAGAACAUUUUAGCCACUAAUCUUUAGUAAGUAUUACAAGCUCACCUAUAUACAAAGCUAAGGCAAAGGUUUUAUUCCUUUUUUUUCUUUUUUUUCCCCACUUUUGGUUUUGCAAAACCUCUUGAUAAUGCCAAGAACAUGGGAGAUAGGUCACAGAAAAUGUCAAUGAUACUCCCACUAACACCUAUUCUGUAGUUUUGUGUGCUCAUUAUGGAAAAUUGGUCUUAAGUUUUCCCAUUUUUCUAGUUUCCAGAGUAGGAGGAAAAAAAAUAGCUUUGCAGUGAUAGGAGGAAUAAGAUAAUGAAGUCAAGCAGUUCAGUUCAAUUUGAUCUUUGUUAGUUCUAGAACUUUCAGUGAAUCCAUUAAAUAAAUUGCUUGAGACACUGGAAGGAAAAUUGUACAUCAGCAUCUGAUUACAAAUGAUUUGUGGGACUUACUCUAAAACAGUAUCAAUGCUAAUAAAUAAUGUCAUUUUUGAAGAUGGUAGCCAUCCUUUUAUAUAAAUUAUUUACAGCAGGAUGUAAUUUUUACAUUAAAUGGUUUGUACCUAAAAACUGGUAAGUAAUCUUGAGAUUAAAAAAAAGAGCAGAAUUCAAAAAAGGGGGUUACAGUUUGUGGGUCAGGCUUGGCAAGUUGUGAAGUUCCAGUUUUGUAGUGGGUGUGAAAACAGCAAAGCUGACUGAAGUCAUUGCAGCAAAAAUACACACCUAAGGCUGCAAACCAAACCAUCAAGUCCAGCCUUGAACUAGAACAUGGCUGAGUUUCAGGGAAUAAGGAGAGGGUCAAACCAGAAAUUGUGUGGUCUGAAAGUGAAGAGCGCAAGAAUGAGGCGGAGGAGACGAUAAAAAUAAGUGGUGUCAAAAGGACAAAUUGGUGCAGACACCUCAAGACAAGUGGAGCAUGUUACUUGGACUCAGCCUGUUCUAAUGUAAAGCAAGAGCUGGGAGAUAAUGGAAAUGCAGAUAACAAGUGACAUGAAGUUUUCUGCUCCCAAGGAUGAUACUGUGGUGGCAGCUGGGAUCAGGAGUCAGUGAGAGGAGCAUGGACCUCUGCAAUCACCAGCACCACUGGGCCAGAUCCUUCCCCAGGGAGCUGGAACCAAGGAGUGGCAGCAGGGCAAGAGCUAUGCCAUGUGCCCGAGAGUUACAAGGAGACUUAAAGGCUGCUUUUCUCCAUUAUCUCACACAGAUUCACAGAAUAAUGAGGUUGGAAGAGACCUCUAAGAUCAUCAAGUCCAACCUAUGCCCUAACACCACAACUAGACUAUAGCACCGAGUGCCAAGUCCAGUCUUUUUUUAAACAUAUCCAGAGAUGGUGAUUCCACCACCUCCCUAGGAAGACAAUUCCAGUAUUUUAUUAUUCUUUCAGUGAAAAUUUUUUUCCUAAUAUCCAACCUAAACCUUCCCUCAAUUCAAUUUCCUCUCCACAAAUGAGAAUUAAUAUUUCCCUGGCAGAUCCUUCCUAAUUCCUUGACUCAACCUGCCAGGCAUCAAAGGGAAUUUGUGGCAUCAUGGAGAAAAGGGGAAUUUAUCCUGAAAUGCAUCUCAUCAUAGGGUAUUUGGUUUCUUUUUUUUCCCAGCUAUCACUGGGGAUGCCUCUCUCCCUGAUGCACCCUCUUUAAAUCACACGGUUGACUGCACAGUAACAACCAACUUUCUACAUUUCUGUUAGGGAGUCACAAAAUAAUAACAUGUCUGGAGGAUCAGGCAAUGACCCCAGAGCAAUUCUGUACAACCAGAGUUGGAGAAUUUGCCUUGAGUGCUUAGGAAAAUUUCCCUAAGGGCUGAUGCAGUGAAUUCAGAGUAAAUUAUAGGUGAUUUCCUUUUGUCAGGUAACAGACUAUCAGUGAUUCCAGCAUGCAGUUAUUUCACAUGCUUCAAGAGGUCAGACUGCUGCCAGCAGUAACCUGAGACUCAGAAUUUUGCUCAAUAAAAAAUACUUGGCAGAAUCAGUACAGGCAGGUAUUGGGUAAUUCUGCAAUGAAUGCCAAGGGACAUUUUUCAUGUUUGUGUUGGAAAUGAUACAACUUUUAACUUCUUGAGUAACUUUAAUCAUGGGUUUGUUCACCUUUGCCAAGGGGAGUGGAAUUAAUGUUUCUCCUUAAAAGAUUCUGUGCACUGAAGGUUUGAAUUUCAAUGGGUGAGAGCUUCAAUCAAUUAAAAGAAAAUUCAUAGACUCAGAGAGUUUAGAUCAGGAGCAGACAGAAGAUACAGAGGAGAUAAACAGACAUUAAGAAAUGUUACUCCCUGCUGCAGUCAGAGACACCUGGUCUGGGAAAAGGUUUAUAAGAGAACCAAAGAAGGAAGGCUAAAUGAGCAUCAAAGAGAUCAAUAACCAAUAGGAGACUGAAUAUUAAGAAUUGUGUAAUAUGGAAUCAAUGAACGAGAGUUUAUUUAGUUUAUGUAUAAAUAUGUGAAAAGUCUGGUAAAAAAAAGUAUGGUGGAAUGAUUUCCACUGCACAACUGGGCAUGUGUGGAUGGAAUGAUUCACAUUGCACAUCCUGUACAGAAUAACAUCCUGGCUAGAAUAAAGUAAUGCCCGAUUCUCUAACACUUAAAAGAUGGUGCUGGACAGUUCCUGUUUUUCCCACAGUUUCAGUGGCAUUUGGAAAGGAAAGGCCAUGGCCUUAGGAGAGUUUCCUGAUAUGAUGGCACCUCAAAGUUCAGCUUUGCAUGUCUGCUCUGCAUGUCACAGGAGAGGUGAAGGGCUUCAUGGUGAUCUGCUCCACACAAACCAUUCAGAAACAGGCUGGAAAUAAGCAGGACUCUCAUUUUUUACUUAAAUACCUGUGAAUGUCAGUGAUUGAUACUGACAUGACCAAAUUUUCCCUGCUGUAGGCAAUCAGGGAGAUGAAAAAGAGACUUCUUAAAUGCCUUUAUAACAUGGAACACCUUGUAUUUAUGAUGACAGCUGGUCUUUUCCCCUGUAUGAAUUAAUCUCACUAAUUCCUUUCUUCAUUUGUGGCGUGCAUGUCCUCUAACCAGGUUUAUGCCACAACAAAAAUAAGAUGACUGCUGGACUGAUGCAAACCAGUGUCAAUGGCAGUGAACUGAUGGGCUGCUGCUUCAAUCAUAGGAAGGGUUUAAUUUCUAAAGAAUACUAUUUAUAUCUUUUCCUAAAGUCAGAGACAUCAUCCUUUUGUUUCCUGAACUUUUGGUGUAGGAAAACUUAACAAAGUGCUUUAUCAUAUCUCCUGUUUAAAGAGAUUCAUGGCAAGCAGAGCUGACAAGCAACACAAACAGAAAGGGAAAUAAUUCUCUUUUCACCUCCCAUUUAUUCAAAAUUACUUAAUUUAUCCUGUUACAUGUCUUACAUUCUUUAACAUUUCCACUUUCAUCUAUGGUAAAAUUAGGGAAAGAGGACAAGGAAACACUUCCCCUACCCUGGUGUAAUUUCUUCUCAAAAAUCCUCUUGUGAGUUUUGUUGCAAUUGGUGAAUUCUGUUUCCUACUCUCAAGGCACAAACCUCCCUGUUGUUUACUUCUCCCUCUGUAGGUCUGUUCAUUAGUAGAAUGCCUUUGGCAGCUCCGAGGGCAGAAUGAUUUUCCAGAAAAACAGGGCAGGUUAAAAAUUGCCUUUAGAAUUAGAGCAUUUUUUGCUUCAUUCCUGUGACACUGCACUGGAGAUGUGAUCCAGUAAAAAUCAGUCCUGAUAGUACCUUUCUUUAUAUAUCUACUUCUGGAGGGAAUUCAAGCAUCUUACCUAACUUUAUUGCAUUCUGAGAAUUUAAGGCAGGAUUUUAGGAGCUUUUUGCUAAAUAUUCAGGGAAGAGGGGAAGGAAAGAUAAAUAAAUGGUAUGUGUUUAGAAUUUGCAGUCUUCUCUGUGCACAGCAUGUGUAAUGGCUCAUUUCAUUUUGGGGCUAUGUAUUCAUCCCCAGUAUUGUGAUGAAAUGUUGCUCAGAUGUGUCUGAGAGGAGCACACACCCAUGUGGAUGCUAUUAGGAAAAACAUUCUCAUUUGCCAGAUGUGUGGUUUUUAACUGUUGCUUCCUGGGCAGGAAAAAACAGCAACAGCUGCUGGCAGCAGAGACAGGAAAGAGAUGCUGUGUGCACCUUGGUGCUGCUGGGGAGGAGAGAUACCCAUUCUGGCUCUCUUCUUGCUCCUUUAUUUGGCCUGUGGGGCCAGGAAGGGCCAGGUAGCUCUGAAUGGCAGUUUAACCUGGGUGGCAGGUGCCUUUGGAGGCUGUGAGGAUCAGGGUCAGCUUUUCCCAGCAAGUGCUGGGAUGUGUGGGGUUUGUGGUCUCACUCAUCCUCCUCUGGGAAGGCUGCUCUUAAGAAGACUCUGGGGCAGAGGCAGGAGAGGAGUGGGGGCUCUGAGCCAUCCCCAGUUCUCCCCAGUCUGCUGGAGGCUCCUUGUCCUGUUUUUUGUGCUGGACCUCCUUACUGUCAGUGCUGAGUUGCCAUGAGCUCUUCCUCUGAAUCACCAGUGGUGGUGCUCCCCAAACAGCCAGCUUGGCAUAUGCCCACAGCUGUUGAAUAGCAGCCAAAAAUGCUAGUUUAUCCUUUUGCCUUCUUUUUAGGCUCUUCUUGAUUCCCUUCCCCGAUUCUAUUGCUUCAUUCAUUUAGGGUAUUUCUUCCAGCAAUUGCACAUCUCCUCUGGCUCUUGUUUUCCUUGUUCUGCCACAGGAAUUCGGAUUAUUGCCUACAGGGCUCAGGUGAAGCCCACAUUGAGUUCAGCUGCCUCUCCUUUUUUCUUUCUGCCCCCAGGAAAUUAAACACUCCCACAGAAAAAGCUUCCUGCUCUUUUUUUCCUACGUGUAAGGAAAGAGCAUUUGGUUUAUGAGACAUGCUAUGUCUUUUCUUUCCUCAUAUUAUGAACUCUUCAGUGAGAAAAUGGUAUUUAUUUUCUCUCUUCUAUACUGUGAAGUAUAUUAUUGGUCCUGUCACCAUUGAGGCAGGAUGGGAAUGAAAAAGACUUCAAGUCAGAAGGUUAAAAGAACUGAACUGGACAACUUUAUUUCAAAUACAUCACUUUUUUUGUAGAGAACAUCAUGCAAAGUAAAAACAUCUCACACCAUUGGUGCGUGCUGAAUGCACGGUGGCAGAACAUAUCUACAAAAAAUGUGAACAACAAGAAAGAUAAUUAUUUAUAUUCCUUUGAAACUCUUUCCCAGGCCCAGCCUGGCAGAAACCUCUCCUUUCUCUCUGACUGAACUGAGAAUAUCCAUAGGUCCCAUUAAAAUGAUAUAUAUCUCAAUUACUAUGUUUUUCAUUCAAAAAUAAAUGGGAAAAACCUUAAGGUUGCAUGGAAAAACUUGGUCUUAAAUAUUUCACUUAUCAAAGACAAUCUGAGAAAACAAGAAUUGUUCAAGUGAAUGUUUCUGUGGUUUGAAGUGCCAAUGAAAUAGACACAGUACUUCAAGCUUCUGAAUCAACUUCUUAAGAAAUGUUAUUUUCACAAAGACUAAACAGGUAUUUCAAUUUUAAGCAUUUUCAGAGUGACAAGAUACAGACAUAUCAGAUUAUUUCCAAAAUGUCUUGUCCUUACAAAUUAGCAGUAUUAUUAAAUAAUGAGGUGUAUGGAUAGGUGCCAUCCUGUGCCCCAAGUCAGGGAAUAUUAAGUGCUGAAAGGAAUUAGCUCAAACUGUCUUCUUACUUUCUUGAGUUCCACUUUUUUUUUUUCCCCAGGAGGUCUGAGUUAGUCUAAACCACUUGUCAGAGAUCUCAUUUAUUUUUGAUGUGUUGUACUUUGCCCCUUUCUGCAUUAUUCAGAAAGGAAAAAAAAUAAUCUGAGUGGAUAGAAUAAAAACAAAAUAGAAAAUUAAAAAGAAAAUAGAAAAGAAAAAAGAAAAUCCUGAAUACCCAAUUUUCACAUUUGAACCUUUGACUGAAAAGGCAUCUCAGAGUGUCAUUUCUUCUGGCUCAUAGCCAAAAUGAAGGGAAAAACAUCUCAGCUUAACUGGGUAAAGCUUGUCUGCCCACCACUGCAAUUGGGAAACUCAGUUACUUACCAUCACAGACUUGCCAGAACAAAACAGACAAAAAAUUUCCUGCCAUUUAAAUUUUGUGUACGACCACUACAAAAAUUAACAAUGUCAUUUCCUUUACUCAGAUUCCAUGCCCAUCUCUCUGAAGAGCACAACUGAGCGCCAGAUGUGUGCAGCACACUUUCUUCUGGCCUGAUUUCAGAAAAUCUUAGAAAGGGAUCUGUCCCAGUGCUGUUGUUACUUUGGGGUAUUAAUUUGGGCUGGUCUGUGUCGUGUUGUGAGGGGUCAGUGCAGAAGAAAAAGCGGGCAAUGGGUCUUAGGUGGAAAAUCCAAGGGUCCUUUAUUAUUCUUGCUGCAGUAACAAGAACAUUCUUGAAUACAGCCAAACACAAAGACCUCUAACAAGGAGCAAUCCCAAUUUAUAUACACUAACAUGGAACAUUCUAGAAACAUUCUAACCAAUCAUAACAGGCCACAUAAUCUAUAUUAAGGUAGUGCCUCCCAUGAUCACAUUCAAACAAACUUUAACUCUCCCAAACUUGAAACAGUGUCCCCAAAUUUAGGGUGUAGCUUUCCAUGGCCUUGAGUUGAUUCUGGCUAUGACUGGCUUGCUGAUAUGUACCUUUGCAGAUAUGUACCUUUGCAGAUAUGUACCUAUACAUCAGCACAUCCACCUCUGCUAGGGGACUCAUCCUCAUCCCAGCAGGAUUUGGUCCCCCUGAGCAGGAGCAGCAGCUUGUAGCAGCACAUUUACUAUUUCAAUAAGGACAAAACCCAGCUUCUUUCUCACCACAAAGCAAAUUCUCUGCAGGAAUCUCUGGGGUUGUUUAUGUCAGGGACUGACAUGGUGCUGAAUCUCCAAGCCACAGCCUGCUCCUGCUGUAGAACUACAGCCCUCUGGUGGCACCAAAUCACUUAUUUUGUCAAAAGCUGCAUAUAUAACAGGGAAAAACUCACCUUUGGGCUCUGACCAGCUCUGACUCGGUGCUGCCUGGAGGGGUAAGAAUAUCUCUGGGGGAAGAGUCCAAGAAGCAGGGACGUGACCCACCACAUAGAAACUUCUAAAGAAAAUGCAGUGACUGAAUGCAAAGGUACUUAAGAAGUGGGAGAUUGUUUGCCUCACAGGACUAGGAGAGACCUUAGAAAUCAUUGUCCUGAAAAAAUUACUUGCCCUGGGAAGAGGCCAGUAAGGACCCCUCAAUAGUGUUCUGAUCAUCAGCAAUAAACUCUUCUCUCUGCUAAAGGAGGAUGAAACAAGCAUCCCUUACACCUGGAUAGAGUUUGUUUAGCUUGAUCUUUAAAGUGCUUAAAUGACUGAGAUCUUGUAAGAUUUUACUCCCUGUGCUUCAUUAGGGGAACGAUUAGCCUACUUGUCUUAUAUCUCAUUCAUAGCUUAUAUUGCACAAUUUAAGUCAUUAUUCCUUGACCUAUUUGCUGUGGAAAAGGAAAAAACACAUAAGACUUUUUUUUUUUUUUUUCAGUGUGCUGAUCUCUUUGAAUAUAUGUUCUUUGAUUCUUCCUUAAAGCUAAUCAGCACAAAUUAAUUUCAUCUUUCUGAUCAA
This 10618-nucleotide long non-coding RNA is filed under the name Taeniopygia guttata (zebra finch). RNAcentral's name for it is "lncRNA (ENSTGUG00000027915.1)". The record is from RNAcentral. Lineage: Eukaryota; Metazoa; Chordata; Aves; Passeriformes; Estrildidae.